RNAcentral lists this ribosomal RNA (542 nucleotides) under uncultured bacterium. Its description in RNAcentral is "partial 16S ribosomal RNA". It matches the Rfam family "Bacterial small subunit ribosomal RNA", at positions 355 to 889 of the family's 1533-position model. The record is from RNAcentral.
UGGGGAAUUUUGGACAAUGGGGGCAACCCUGAUCCAGCAAUGCCGCGUGUGUGAAGAAGGCCUUCGGGUUGUAAAGCACUUUUGUCCGGAAAGAAAACGUCGUGGUUAAUACCCGUGGCGGCUGACGGUACCGGAAGAAUAAGCACCGGCUAACUACGUGCCAGCAGCCGCGGUAAUACGUAGGGUGCAAGCGUUAAUCGGAAUUACUGGGCGUAAAGCGUGCGCAGGCGGUCCGCUAAGACAGAUGUGAAAUCCCCGGGCUUAACCUGGGAACUGCAUUUGUGACUGGCGGGCUAGAGUAUGGCAGAGGGGGGUAGAAUUCCACGUGUAGCAGUGAAAUGCGUAGAGAUGUGGAGGAAUACCGAUGGCGAAGGCAGCCCCCUGGGCCAAUACUGACGCUCAUGCACGAAAAGCGUGGGGAGCAAACAGGAUUAGAUACCCUGGUAGUCCACGCCCUAAACGAUGUCAACUAGUUGUCGGGUCUUCAUUGACUUGGUAACGUAGCUAACGCGUGAAGUUGACCGCCUGGGGAGUACGGUCGC